UCACUGUGCCUGUUCCCCUGGCCCCGAAGAGGAACCAGUGGCAUGAUGUCACACACCUGUUUGGCUGGAGGCAGGGGCCUGGAGACUCUAGGAGCUGUGGGGUGUCAAGUUGGCACCCCUGCUACGCCCUGUGGAUGUGUCAAAAUGGCAGAUGAUGGUCGGGGUGUGUGCAGCUGCUAGGGAUGAAGAGUGCCAAGAGCGAAUGUUUCCUGCGGUGAACUCCAAUCAAGUUUAAGAAACAUCUCAAGGAUGAAAAUGGCACCGGAGAAGAAGGCAGACGCUU
This 283-nucleotide long non-coding RNA is filed under the name Salmo salar (Atlantic salmon). RNAcentral describes it as "lncRNA (ENSSSAG00000110326.1)". The record is from RNAcentral. Lineage: Eukaryota; Metazoa; Chordata; Actinopteri; Salmoniformes; Salmonidae.